UGACGCAGUUUCGUUUCGACUGUCGUACGAAUAACAUCGCGUUAUAAUUGCUCCGUAAUUAUUUCAAAACGAUCCUGGUCGGACACGGGAUGAUCCGGGACGAACGAGAGAUUUUCGAGAGAGAUUAGAAGUUGGAGCGAUGCUUCUGGAGUUCGGGACCGAUCCCCUUCGGAACCGGCCCUGUCGAUGUCGAUACGCCACGCUUCAUCCCCCGCGGAUAAUCGUUCUUGCACGGCCGGAUAAAACCGGACGCGCGGCUACCGAAUCCAUCGAUCGGCCCGAAUCUCUAACGAUCGAUUAAAAAAAAACAAAAUCGAUAUCGAGUCGAUCUGUCGAAUAAUAAUAACCGAAUAAUUCCCUUGCUACAAACAAUUCACGAUCAAUCCUCUCGAUCGUCUUUUCUCCCCGAUUCACUCUCCCCUUCCCCCUAAAACUAUCCCACUUUUCCAUUAACCUUCUCCUUAGCACAACUUGGUGUGACUCGUACAAUUUUCCCCAGAUCCAGAUCGAGCGUUGGGCACAGAAGUCUGUGGAAGCGGGCUAAGGAUUCACUUUCUCGGCCCUCGGAGUCGGGGGAAAUAAAUGAUGAGCUUGACAGGUCCGCUCGUAACAGAAGAGGAGGAGGAGGAGGAGGAGAAGGAAGAAGGGACGAAAGAGGAGAGGGAAGGCGAGAAGGAAGGGAGGAGGAGGAGAAGGAGGAAGAGAAGGAUUUCUCCCUGGAAACAACGGAAUCGAGGACCAGAGCAAACUCGGCGUCCAUGUUCCACCACCUUGAGACGAGGAGACUUCCGUGCCCUUCGGGUUGCGCGAAAUAGGAUCCAUUUCGCGAUUUCCUGCGAACACGAUCCACGUAGUAGAAAGCAGAGGCUGGGGGAAGAGGCUGGAGGAGGAGGAGGAGGAGGAGGAUCGAGCGUAUGGAAUACAAUGGCGCGGAUCGUGGCUGCCGCUUAUGCCCUUCGGUUAUGGCGAACGCACGGAUUGUUAGAAACCGUCGUCGCCCGCUAGGUGCAGCCGAAGGUUCAGCUGGAACCGGGCCAGCGGCAAUUCCGGAUGGAAAUCUCAUUCCGAGGCGGAUAUCUUCGUUGCGUCGAGAUUGUAUCGACCACGGUAGACAAGGACUAAGGUCGCGUCCGACUCCUACAGAUAUCGUUUCAUACAGGGUGUCCAAGAAGGAAUAAUUCAAUUUUAAUUUCACGUUUCAAAAAGAUCGAUCCAAAUCAAACAUUUCAUACGUAUAGAUUUUCA
This 1245-nucleotide long non-coding RNA is filed under the name Apis dorsata (giant honeybee). RNAcentral's name for it is "uncharacterized LOC102673050, transcript variant X2". The record is from RNAcentral. Lineage: Eukaryota; Metazoa; Arthropoda; Insecta; Hymenoptera; Apidae.